UGCCUAAUACAUACAAUCAACAACUCUUAUUGAUUUCUUGCAUCAUGAUUUACAUUUGAUGAUCCGAACUGUAUAACACUGGAAACCUCCCAGAAGCGGGGGAUAACACCUGGAAACAGAUGCUAAUACCGCAUAACACUUGGACCGCAUGGUCCGAGUCUUGAAAGAUGGCUUCGGCUAUCCUUUUGGCAUGGUCCCGCGGCGUAUUAGCUAGAUGGUGGGGUAACGGCUCACCAUAGCAAUGAUACGUAGCCGACCUGAGAGGGUAAUCGGCCACAUUGGGACUGAGACACGGCCCAAAACUCUACGGGAGGCAGCAGAGGGAAAUCUUCCACAAUGGACGAAAGUCUGAUGGAGCAACGCCGCGUGAGUGAAGAAGGGUUUCGGCUCUAAAAUCUGUUG
RNAcentral lists this ribosomal RNA (402 nucleotides) under Lactiplantibacillus plantarum. RNAcentral's name for it is "bacterial SSU rRNA". It matches the Rfam family "Bacterial small subunit ribosomal RNA", at positions 45 to 438 of the family's 1533-position model. The record is from RNAcentral. Lineage: Bacteria; Bacillati; Bacillota; Bacilli; Lactobacillales; Lactobacillaceae.